This 72-nucleotide transfer RNA is filed under the name Pomoxis nigromaculatus (black crappie). RNAcentral's name for it is "tRNA-Trp". It matches the Rfam family "tRNA". Rfam says of the family: Transfer RNA (tRNA) molecules are approximately 80 nucleotides in length. Their secondary structure includes four short double-helical elements and three loops (D, anti-codon, and T loops). Further hydrogen bonds mediate the characteristic L-shaped molecular structure. tRNAs have two regions of fundamental functional importance: the anti-codon, which is responsible for specific mRNA codon recognition, and the 3' end, to which the tRNAs corresponding amino acid is attached (by aminoacyl-tRNA synthetases). tRNAs cope with the degeneracy of the genetic code in two manners: having more than one tRNA (with a specific anti-codon) for a particular amino acid; and 'wobble' base-pairing, i.e. permitting non-standard base-pairing at the 3rd anti-codon position. Lineage: Eukaryota; Metazoa; Chordata; Actinopteri; Centrarchiformes; Centrarchidae. The record is from RNAcentral.
AGGAACUUAGGAUAAUACAUAGACCAAGGGCCUUCAAAGCCCUAAGUGGGGGUGAAAAUCUCCCAGUUCCUG